Molecule: ribosomal RNA, 335 nt
Filed under: Bacillus subtilis
Lineage: Bacteria; Bacillati; Bacillota; Bacilli; Caryophanales; Bacillaceae
Also listed under: 1 other name
Description: bacterial SSU rRNA
Rfam family: Bacterial small subunit ribosomal RNA
Source: RNAcentral
GCUCUGUUGUUAGGGACGAACAAGUACCGUUCGAAUAGGGCGGUACCUUGCCGGUACCUAACCAGAAAGCCACGGCUAACUACGUGCCAGCAGCCGCGGUAAUACGUAGGUGGCAAGCGUUGUCCGGAAUUAUUGGGCGUAAAGGGCUCGCAGGCGGUUUCUUAAGUCUGAUGUGAAAGCCCCCGGCUCAACCGGGGAGGGUCAUUGGAAACUGGGGAACUUGAGUGCAGAAGAGGAGAGUGGAAUUCCACGUGUAGCGGUGAAAUGCGUAGAGAUGUGGUAGGAACACCAGUGGCGAAGGCGACUCUCUGGUCUGUAACUGACGCUGAGGAGCG